GUUUUAUGCAUAAGGGCAGUGAAAAGUACCAAUAUUUAUGUAUAGUUGCAUGUUUUCAUAAGCGUAAAUUGGGUCCCAGGCUGAAAAGGUUUAAGAACCCCUGAUUUAGAGAUGACAUAACAACCAUUCAAUGGUGUUGUUCAUGCCUCCGCGAUACAGCUAUUUUUAUAAAAAAUAUUUUUUUAAAUAGAAGAAACAUUUUGAUGUUGCUACGGCAACCAAUUAUUUCACAGAGACGAUUUCAGAGUACUCUCGUCUGUGUGCCAAAGUGCAGAAUAAAUUAUGAAUUUACAAAUGCUCAACACCUGUUGAAUAUAGCCGGUGUCAGUAAACGUUGGCAAAAAAAAGCGUAAUUAAAUUGUUGCCAGCACGGUUACAGUCACCAACGCUCUAGAUAACAUGAAAACUGCCUAACCAGCUUUUCUACGAUGAGUAACAUGAUCAGAGUGAGGUGUUCUCCCAUUUGUGUCUGGAAGUAGCUCGCAAACUAGCCAAAUGGACAAUCUGACAACGCUCUGAAUUUACAAACGUCCAGAGCGCACUCUGAGCUGAGCGCACUCCAUAUUGAAUUUACCAACACACCACUUCUCUGAACAAAUGUGUGGAAUGUUGCUCCAGGUAUCUAGAAACUAGCCUGGGUACCAGUCUGUUUGUGCUAACAUUCCACUCGUUGUACUCUUUAUCCUAUGCCAAACAUGACUAGCUAGAAACCGAGGAUGGAGACACUUUGUUCUGCUCCUAGUCAUCUCAUCUGUCCAAAUAUAGUUAGAAUGCCCCCCUCUGUUCAAAUAUAGAUCUAUUCUCCCCCUCCGUUUAACUAUAGUUAGAAUGCCCCCCUCUGUUCAAAUAUAGGUCUAUUCUCCCCCUCUGUUUAAAUAUAGUUAGAAUGCCCCCCUCUGUUCAAAUAUAGGUCUAUUCUCCCCCUCUGUUUAAAUAUAGUUAGAAUGCCCCCCUCUGUUCAAAUAUAGGUCUAAUGUCCUAGCCUGGGUACUAGUCUCUUUAGUUAAUCCACUCUGUGCCAAAGUGAAUGGCUUUUACUGCCAUCUUGAAAUAUGAGCAUUUUAUUAUUAAUGAGCUCGAGGAGAACAUAGGAGUUGAUCCUGAUUUGAUCACCCUCAAAGCUAUCCUCCAAUAACAAUGAUUUUAUGCAAAUUUUGGAACUCUAUCCUUUUUUAUCUCCCCAGAACACCUUGGUAUCCGG
Molecule: long non-coding RNA, 1201 nt
Organism: Oncorhynchus tshawytscha (Chinook salmon)
Lineage: Eukaryota; Metazoa; Chordata; Actinopteri; Salmoniformes; Salmonidae
Source: Ensembl